AUACGUAGGGGGCGAGCGUUGUCCGGAAUGAUUGGGCGUAAAGGGCGCGUAGGCGGCGCGGUAAGUCUGGAGUGAAAGUCCUGCUUUCAAGGUGGGAAUUGCUUUGGAUACUGCCGCGCUUGAGUGCAGGAGAGGUUAUCGGAAUUCCCGGUGUAGCGGUGAAAUGCGUAGAGAUCGGGAGGAACACCAGUGGCGAAGGCGGGUAACUGGACUGCAACUGACGCUGAGGCGCGAAAGUGUGGGGAGCAAACAGGAUUAGAUACCCUGGUAGUCCACACUGUAAACGAUGAAUGCUAGGUGUAAGAGGUAUCGACCCCUUUUGUGCCGGAGUCAACACAAUAAGCAUUCCGCCUGGGGAGUACGGCCGCAAGGUUGAAACUCAAAUGAAUCGGCGGGG
Molecule: ribosomal RNA, 397 nt
Filed under: uncultured bacterium
Lineage: Bacteria
Description: partial 16S ribosomal RNA
Rfam family: Bacterial small subunit ribosomal RNA
Source: RNAcentral